Molecule: ribosomal RNA, 2900 nt
Filed under: Klebsiella pneumoniae
Lineage: Bacteria; Pseudomonadati; Pseudomonadota; Gammaproteobacteria; Enterobacterales; Enterobacteriaceae
Description: bacterial LSU rRNA
Rfam family: Bacterial large subunit ribosomal RNA
Source: RNAcentral
UUAAGCGACUAAGCGUACACGGUGGAUGCCCUGGCAGUCAGAGGCGAUGAAGGACGUGCUAAUCUGCGAAAAGCGUCGGUAAGGUGAUAUGAACCGUUAUAACCGGCGAUGUCCGAAUGGGGAAACCCAGUGUGAUUCGUCACACUAUCGUUAACUGAAUACAUAGGUUAACGAGGCGAACCGGGGGAACUGAAACAUCUAAGUACCCCGAGGAAGAGAAAUCAACCGAGAUUCCCCCAGUAGCGGCGAGCGAACGGGGAGCAGCCCAGAGUCUGAAUCAGCUUGUGUGUUAGUGGAACGGUCUGGAAAGUCCGACGGUACAGGGUGAUAGUCCCGUACACCAAAAUGCACAGGUUGUGAACUCGAAGAGUAGGGCGGGACACGUGGUAUCCUGUCUGAAUAUGGGGGGACCAUCCUCCAAGGCUAAAUACUCCUGACUGACCGAUAGUGAACCAGUACCGUGAGGGAAAGGCGAAAAGAACCCCGGCGAGGGGAGUGAAAAAGAACCUGAAACCGUGUACGUACAAGCAGUGGGAGCACCUUCGGGUGUGACUGCGUACCUUUUGUAUAAUGGGUCAGCGACUUAUAUUCUGUAGCAAGGUUAACCGUAUAGGGGAGCCGCAGGGAAACCGAGUCUUAACUGGGCGUUAAGUUGCAGGGUAUAGACCCGAAACCCGGUGAUCUAGCCAUGGGCAGGUUGAAGGUUGGGUAACACUAACUGGAGGACCGAACCGACUAAUGUUGAAAAAUUAGCGGAUGACUUGUGGCUGGGGGUGAAAGGCCAAUCAAACCGGGAGAUAGCUGGUUCUCCCCGAAAGCUAUUUAGGUAGCGCCUCGUGAAUUCAUCUUCGGGGGUAGAGCACUGUUUCGGCUAGGGGGUCAUCCCGACUUACCAACCCGAUGCAAACUACGAAUACCGAAGAAUGUUAUCACGGGAGACACACGGCGGGUGCUAACGUCCGUCGUGAAGAGGGAAACAACCCAGACCGCCAGCUAAGGUCCCAAAGUCAUGGUUAAGUGGGAAACGAUGUGGGAAGGCACAGACAGCCAGGAUGUUGGCUUAGAAGCAGCCAUCAUUUAAAGAAAGCGUAAUAGCUCACUGGUCGAGUCGGCCUGCGCGGAAGAUGUAACGGGGCUAAACCAUGCACCGAAGCUGCGGCAGCGACACUAUGUGUUGUUGGGUAGGGGAGCGUUCUGUAAGCCUGCGAAGGUGGCCUGUGAGGGUUGCUGGAGGUAUCAGAAGUGCGAAUGCUGACAUAAGUAACGAUAAAGCGGGUGAAAAGCCCGCUCGCCGGAAGACCAAGGGUUCCUGUCCAACGUUAAUCGGGGCAGGGUGAGUCGACCCCUAAGGCGAGGCCGAAAGGCGUAGUCGAUGGGAAACAGGUUAAUAUUCCUGUACUUGGUGUUACUGCGAAGGGGGGACGGAGAAGGCUAUGUUAGCCGGGCGACGGUUGUCCCGGUUUAAGCAUGUAGGCUGGUUAUCCAGGCAAAUCCGGAUAAUCAAGGCUGAGGUGUGAUGACGAGGCACUACGGUGCUGAAGUAACAAAUGCCCUGCUUCCAGGAAAAGCCUCUAAGCAUCAGGUAACAUUAAAUCGUACCCCAAACCGACACAGGUGGUCAGGUAGAGAAUACCAAGGCGCUUGAGAGAACUCGGGUGAAGGAACUAGGCAAAAUGGUGCCGUAACUUCGGGAGAAGGCACGCUGGUGUGUAGGUGAAGUCCCUGCGGAUGGAGCUGAGACCAGUCGAAGAUACCAGCUGGCUGCAACUGUUUAUUAAAAACACAGCACUGUGCAAACACGAAAGUGGACGUAUACGGUGUGACGCCUGCCCGGUGCCGGAAGGUUAAUUGAUGGGGUUAUCCGUAAGGAGAAGCUCUUGAUCGAAGCCCCGGUAAACGGCGGCCGUAACUAUAACGGUCCUAAGGUAGCGAAAUUCCUUGUCGGGUAAGUUCCGACCUGCACGAAUGGCGUAAUGAUGGCCAGGCUGUCUCCACCCGAGACUCAGUGAAAUUGAACUCGCUGUGAAGAUGCAGUGUACCCGCGGCAAGACGGAAAGACCCCGUGAACCUUUACUAUAGCUUGACACUGAACAUUGAGCCUUGAUGUGUAGGAUAGGUGGGAGGCUUUGAAGCGUGGACGCCAGUCUGCGUGGAGCCAACCUUGAAAUACCACCCUUUAAUGUUUGAUGUUCUAACGUUGGCCCCUGACCGGGGUUGCGGACAGUGUCUGGUGGGUAGUUUGACUGGGGCGGUCUCCUCCCAAAGCGUAACGGAGGAGCACGAAGGUUAGCUAAUCCUGGUCGGACAUCAGGAGGUUAGUGCAAUGGCAUAAGCUAGCUUGACUGCGAGCGUGACGGCGCGAGCAGGUGCGAAAGCAGGUCAUAGUGAUCCGGUGGUUCUGAAUGGAAGGGCCAUCGCUCAACGGAUAAAAGGUACUCCGGGGAUAACAGGCUGAUACCGCCCAAGAGUUCAUAUCGACGGCGGUGUUUGGCACCUCGAUGUCGGCUCAUCACAUCCUGGGGCUGAAGUAGGUCCCAAGGGUAUGGCUGUUCGCCAUUUAAAGUGGUACGCGAGCUGGGUUUAGAACGUCGUGAGACAGUUCGGUCCCUAUCUGCCGUGGGCGCUGGAGAAUUGAGGGGGGCUGCUCCUAGUACGAGAGGACCGGAGUGGACGCAUCACUGGUGUUCGGGUUGUCAUGCCAAUGGCACUGCCCGGUAGCUAAAUGCGGAAGAGAUAAGUGCUGAAAGCAUCUAAGCACGAAACUUGCCCCGAGAUGAGUUCUCCCUGAAACUUUAAGUCUCCUGAAGGAACGUUGAAGACGACGACGUUGAUAGGCCGGGUGUGUAAGCGCAGCGAUGCGUUGAGCUAACCGGUACUAAUGAACCGUGAGGCUUAACCUU